GUGCCAGCCGCCGCGGUAAUACGGAGGGUGCAAGCGUUGUCCGGAAUUAUUGGGCGUAAAGCGCGCGCAGGCGGUUCCUUAAGUCUGAUGUGAAAGGCCACAGCUCAACUGUGGAGGGCCAUUGGAAACUGGGGAACUUGAGGACAGAAGAGGAGAGCGGAAUUCCACGUGUAGCGGUGAAAUGCGUAGAUAUGUGGAGGAACACCAGUGGCGAAGGCGGCUCUCUGGUCUGUAACUGACACUGAGGCGCGAAAGCAUGGGUAGCGAACAGGAUUAGAAACCCUAGUAGUCC
This 292-nucleotide ribosomal RNA is filed under the name uncultured prokaryote. RNAcentral's name for it is "partial 16S ribosomal RNA". It matches the Rfam family "Bacterial small subunit ribosomal RNA", at positions 505 to 796 of the family's 1533-position model. The record is from RNAcentral.